This is a long non-coding RNA of Nomascus leucogenys (northern white-cheeked gibbon), 2501 nucleotides long. RefSeq lists it as uncharacterized. The transcript has 2 exons. Lineage: Eukaryota; Metazoa; Chordata; Mammalia; Primates; Hylobatidae. The record is from RefSeq and is a predicted model, not a curated record.
CAAUACCAUUUUUUUUUUUUUACAAUCAGAUACAUUAGUUUGCCAAGUGUGCUGCUGGAUGUUCAUUCAGCACUAGUGUUUAACAAAAGCCUGGUUUUAAAAUCAUAGGAUAUGAGUUGGGGGGCCUUGAGGAUGCUGAAUACUGACUAAGAGGAGAGAACUCACAUUACAUGGAGACCAUGGUCCCUAUACCAGAAACAUUGAGAGUAGAGAGAAGCAAAGCUAGCAUCGUGGAGCCAGUCCCUUUAUCCAGGGUCUUAGAGGGAUACAGUCUUCUGUAGAAAUUAAAUAAAGACUGAAUUCUUCAAUGGGUAUUUUGAGAAGAGAGCCACCAUAAGCUUAUACACUGUGCAUUGCAAAAUGUUACUGCCUCUGGGUGGACAGGUUUUAAAAAGACAUUUUUUUUUCCUCCUGGCAUGGCUGACAGAGGGAAGGUUAGGUUUCAAUCCCAUCUUUCCCUUCCCUUGCCCAGUGCUUCUUUAUGUGCACAACCUGCACAACUGUGUGCGGUUUGCAAACACGCAUAGGCAAAGACUAACAGCUUCUGAAACAAACUCUGAAUCAAAGAGGGAGCAUAUUAAUGCAGAUGGCAGAGGAGGUGAGCAGCAUGGGCAGAUAGAAGCAUCACAGAGACUGCAAGAAGAAUGUGCCAGACCAGCUCAUAGUGGCCACACUGAUUAAGAAUUAUCAUCAACUCUUUAGGAUUUGGAAACUUGGAAACACAUUGUAUGUUCUUCCUGGUUUGUUAUAGAGUAUGUGUAUGUACUUCUUUCUCUUAAAAAUAUUUAUUUUUAAAUAAUUGACUUAUAAAAUUAUAUGUAUUUAUCAUGUAUAACACAGAAUUUUGAAGUACAGUCCUGUGUCAUAAGGAUAUGUUCUGAGAAAUCCAUCAAUUUUGUCAUUGUAUAAACAUGAUAGAGUGUAUUUACACAAACCUAGGUGGUAUAAACUACUACACACCUAGGCUACAUAAUGUAGCCUAUUGCUCCUAGGCUAUAAACCUGUGUAACAUGCUACUGUACUAAAUACUAUAGACAAUUGUCACAUACUGGUGAGUAUUUGUGUAUCAAAACAUAUCUAAAUAUAGAAAAGAUGCAGUAAAAAUAUGAUAUUACAAUCUUAUGAGACCACUAUAGUAUAUGCGGUCCAUCAUUGAUUAAAACAUUGUUAUAUGGUGCAUGACUGUAUAUAUGCAUUGUGGAAUGGUUAAAUCUAGCUAACUAACAAAUGUGUUACAUCACAUAGUUAUUAUUUUUGAGGUGAGAACACAAUAUUCACUCUCAGCAUUUUUUAAGAAUACAGUAUAUUAACUAUAGUCACCAUGCUGAAUGGUAGAUCUCUGGAACUAAUUUCUCCUAUCUAAGUGUGGUUAUGUACCCUUUGACCAACAUCUUUCUAACCCCACCCCACAAACACCCCAUAAUAAAGCCUCUUGUAACCACCAUUGUACUCCUUUUUCUAUGAGAAUGGCCUUCUUUGUCUCUCCUUUUGUCUGUCCUUACAGUUUUUUUAAUUAAUCUCUAUUUUGCCUGAUAUUAAUACAAGUAUACUUCUUCCUGCUCUCUUUUAGUUUCUAAUUGCAUAGAAUAUCUUUUUCUGUUCCUUCAUUUUCAGUCUGUGUGUCUUUAUAGGUAAAGUGAGUCUCCUGUAGGCAACAGAUAGUUGGGUUGGCUCUUUUUUUUUUUUAAUCCAUUCCAGCCACUUUGUGUAUUUUGAUCAGAGAACUUUAUCCUUUUACAACCAAGGUAAUUAUUAGUAGAUAAGGACUUACUACUGACAUUUUGUUUAUUGCUUUCUCAUUGUUUGAUAGAUUGUUGUGUGUGGUUUUUAUUACAGGGCGUAUCUUGAGUCAUCUCAAUUAAUCCUGAUGCUCUUGGUUCCUACAUCGCUGUUAGCAUUGAGGAUGUUAGAGUGCAGAGUAUCAAAACCAGCAUUUAUCAGAAAGAAAGGAUGUUUACAUAAACAUUAAGGCAUGGAAGAGAGUCAGUGGGGUGGGGGUGGAAAAGGAAAGAAUAUUCUAGGCUGAGAAAAUCACUGAAGCAAGAAAAUGGUGUAUACGAGCAUGGGUUCUUUUAGAAACUAUCUUAACACCUGAUCAAAUGUGGGUGUUUCUGAAAAUGCUGAGCUGAUUACGGCACAUUCUCUGUCCUGAAGAAGCUGAAAGCAUUUUUACAUCUACCCUAUUUGAUCCUCAUACAAAUUUUAUAAAUUAGAUAAAUAUCUAAUUUUAUUUAUCUAAUUUUAUAAAUUAGAUAAAUAUCUAAAUUAGACAAACAUCUUAAUAACGAAAAAUCACUGAAGAGGGAACCUUAAAAAAAGUACUUUAAAAAAGUACACAAGACUUAAGUUUACACAACUAACUCUAGGAAUGCUGGGACUGGAACCCAGCUGCCUGGCAAGUACCGUGGUGUUUUCAACCAGAUCAGAGAGGGGUGAGCUUUUUCCUUUUUCCUGCUUCUUCCCCAGAGCAGUAAACUAAAAAAAAAAAAAAAAAAAAAAAA